GUAAAGCGUACGCAGGNGGNUACGCAAGACAGAUGUGAAAUCCCCGGGCUCAACCUGGGAACUGCAUUUGUGACUGCAUGACUUGAGUACGGUAGAGGGGGAUGGAAUUCCGCGUGUAGCAGUGAAAUGCGUAGAUAUGCGGAGGAACACCGAUGGCGAAGGCAAUCCCCUGGACCUGUACUGACGCUCAGGCACGAAAGCGUGGGGAGCAAACAGGAUUAGAUACCCUGGUAGUCCACGCCCUAAACGAUGUCANCUGGUUGUUGGGAGGGUUUCUUCUCAGNAACGAAGCUAACGCGUGAAGUUGACCCUCUGGGGAGUACGGNCGCAAGUUGUAAACUCAAAGGAAUUGA
RNAcentral lists this ribosomal RNA (353 nucleotides) under uncultured bacterium. RNAcentral describes it as "bacterial SSU rRNA". It matches the Rfam family "Bacterial small subunit ribosomal RNA", at positions 560 to 913 of the family's 1533-position model. The record is from RNAcentral.